This 378-nucleotide ribosomal RNA is filed under the name Triticum aestivum (bread wheat). RNAcentral's name for it is "partial small subunit ribosomal RNA". It matches the Rfam family "Eukaryotic large subunit ribosomal RNA", at positions 257 to 643 of the family's 3401-position model. Lineage: Eukaryota; Viridiplantae; Streptophyta; Magnoliopsida; Poales; Poaceae. The record is from RNAcentral.
UCAACGAGUCGGGUUGUUUGGGAAUGUAACCCAAAUCGGGCGGUAGACUCCGUCCAAGGCUAAAUACAGGCGAGAGACCGAUAGCGAACAAGUACCACGAGGGAAAGAUGAAAAGGACUUUGAAAAGAGAGUCAAAGAGUGCUUGAAAUUGCUGGGAGGGAAGCGGAUGGGGGCCGGGGAUGCGCCCCGGCCGUAUGCGGAACGGCUCUUGCUGGUCCGCCACUCGGCUCGGGGUGUGGACUGUUGUCGGCCGCGCCGGCGGCCAAAGCCCGGGGGCCCUAGGUGCCCCCGGUGGCCGUCGUCGGCACAGCGGGUACCCGCACGCCGAAAGGCGUGUCCCUCGGGGCACUGCGCUGCAACGGCCUGCGGGCUCCCCAU